This 269-nucleotide unclassified non-coding RNA is filed under the name Hevea brasiliensis (rubber tree). Lineage: Eukaryota; Viridiplantae; Streptophyta; Magnoliopsida; Malpighiales; Euphorbiaceae. The record is from RNAcentral.
CAAACCAACUGUUACUGGAGAACUAGACACUCAGAACUUUGAGAAGUUUCCUGAAGUUCAAGACCCUCCCUCUGAAAUGCCAACUGUUGGACCUUGGAGGAAGAUGCUAACUUCAAAAGAUACCAAUUUCAUUGGAUUUACUUUUAAGAAGUCAAACGUCAAAUCACUUGAGAGUACAGGUACAGAUGUGCAUUCAAACACAUCAUCAAAAUCACCAUCUCUAGUUUCCUUGUUGGGUCGAAUAGACUUGCAAGAAACAGUGAUACCAG